CAUGUAGGCGGUCGUGCAAGCUUGGUGUGAAAUCCCGGGGCUUAACUCCGGGACUGCGUUGAGAACUGCACGACUAGAGUAACUGAGGGGCAGCCGGAAUUCCAGGUGUAGGGGUGAAAUCUGUAGAUAUCUGGAGGAAUACCGAUGGCGAAGGCAGCCUUCUGGCAUCAUAUUGACACUGAGGUUCGAAAGCGUGGUAGCAAACA
Molecule: ribosomal RNA, 206 nt
Filed under: uncultured bacterium
Lineage: Bacteria
Description: partial 16S ribosomal RNA
Rfam family: Bacterial small subunit ribosomal RNA
Source: RNAcentral